Sebastes umbrosus (honeycomb rockfish) is the source of this 245-nucleotide long non-coding RNA. RefSeq lists it as uncharacterized. The transcript has 3 exons. NCBI's taxonomy places the organism in Eukaryota, Metazoa, Chordata, Actinopteri, Perciformes, Sebastidae. The record is from RefSeq and is a predicted model, not a curated record.
UUGAAAAAUGCCAAAACAUUUUAACUAUGUAUUGAGUUUAAGAAUAAUUGCUGAUUAAUUGUUUAAUUGUUUCAGCUUCUUUUACUCAAGUAAAAGAUCUCAAUUUCAAUCUUCUUCCUGCACUGAAAUCUACUUGGCAGCAGUUUCCUGGCAGCGUCUUUGGCCAACCUCAGCAGCGGUCCUAAACAGAGCCAACCUGGCUCCAGCUCCAUCCCCGCCCUCCCUGCCAACAGAGGCGUUGACGG